This 419-nucleotide ribosomal RNA is filed under the name bacterium. RNAcentral's name for it is "partial 16S ribosomal RNA". It matches the Rfam family "Bacterial small subunit ribosomal RNA", at positions 355 to 776 of the family's 1533-position model. The record is from RNAcentral.
UGGGGGAUAUUGCACAAUGGGCGAAAGCCUGAUGCAGCGACGCCGCGUGGGGGAUGAAGGCCUUCGGGUUGUAAACUUCUUUUGCUCUGAACAAGGCAUGCUAAUGGGUGUGUUGAGUGUAGGGGUUGAUUAGCGCCGGCUAACUACGUGCCAGCAGCCGCGGUAAUACGUAGGGCGCGAGCGUUGUCCGGAAUUAUUGGGCGUAAAGGGCUUGUAGGUGGCUGGUUGCGUCUGUCGUGAAAGCUCAUGGCUUAACUGUGGGUUUGCGGUGGGUACGGGCUGGCUUGAGUGCAGUAGGGGAGGCUGGAAUUCCUGGUGUAGCGGUGGAAUGCGCAGAUAUCAGGAGGAAUACCGGUGGCGAAGGCGGGUCUCUGGGCUGUUACUGACACUGAGGAGCGAAAGCAUGGGGAGAGAACAGG